GCUUGAUACUCUCUCUCUCUCUCCACAUUUAUCUUUCUACGUUUUAUCCUUCAAUGAAAUUGAGUUUAUAUAAGCUGCGAUCCAAUGUAUAUCUUACAAUCUGAUUAAAAAGCUUAAUAUAUCAUCUUCUCGCCCUUCAUGGAAUGUUAAUAAAAUUUUUAAAAUUUAUAAGUUAAUAUGCACCACUUUUAAAUUAUAUAGAGUAAAUGUUGUUUAUGAUCAUCGAGUUAAUUACCUACCUAUUGUGUAGAAAGAUGAAAUGG
RNAcentral lists this unclassified non-coding RNA (263 nucleotides) under Hevea brasiliensis (rubber tree). Lineage: Eukaryota; Viridiplantae; Streptophyta; Magnoliopsida; Malpighiales; Euphorbiaceae. The record is from RNAcentral.